RNAcentral lists this ribosomal RNA (438 nucleotides) under uncultured bacterium. RNAcentral describes it as "bacterial SSU rRNA". It matches the Rfam family "Bacterial small subunit ribosomal RNA", at positions 958 to 1397 of the family's 1533-position model. The record is from RNAcentral.
AACGCGAAGAACCUUACCUGGGUUUGACAUCCCAUGAAAAGCGCAGAGAUGCGUAAUAGUCGCAAGACACAUGGAGACAGGUGCUGCAUGGCUGUCGUCAGCUCGUGUCGUGAGAUGUUGGGUUAAGUCCCGCAACGAGCGCAACCCUUUCCCUUAUUUGCCAGCAUUAAGUUGGGCACUCUAGGGGUACUGCCGAUGAUAAAUCGGAGGAAGGUGGGGACGAGGUCAAGUCAUCAUGGCCCUUAUGUCCAGGGCAACACACGUACUACAAUGGCCAAGACAAAGCGAAGCGAGACCGUAAGGUUUAGCCAAUCGCAAAAACAUGGUCUCAGUUCGGAUUGUGGUCUGCAACUCGACCACAUGAAGUUGGAAUCUCUAGUAAUCGCAGAUCAGCAGGCUGCGGUGAAUACGUUCCCGGGCCUUGUACACACCGCGAGC